GUGUGUGUGUGUGUGUGUGUGUGUGUGUGUGUGUGUGUGUGUGUGUGUGUGUCUCUCUCUCUCUCUCUCUCUCUCUCUCUCUCUCUCUCUCUCUCUCUCUCUCUCUCUCUCACAGGAAGGGAAGGUGGGCAAGCAUCGUGUCCCCACCCACCCCCGGGCCUGGGCCACACCUGGGCUUACCUUAGGACGACCUGCACGGCCUUGACCCCAGGCUGCAGUUCUCUGUGCGGGGGGAGGAGGGGAGGGUCAAUAGCAGGACAGCGCCCAGCAGCCACCUCUGACCCUUCACUGGGGGGACCAGCCAGACGGACUAACCCACUACUUCCUUCCCAUGGCGACCGAAGGCCAAGGGUACUGCCUAGAGCGUUCUCUCCUGACAUUUACUCACGGCUGGAGACUGAAGGCCUCAGAGAGCAGAGUCAGAGCCCUGGAACCAGCCUGCAUCCCUCAUCUGCUCACCGGGGGCAGCUCUGCCCCCAGGGGACACUGGGGAUGUCUGGGGACAUCUGUGGUGGCCACGACUGGGGUGCUCCUGGCGUCAAGGGGAUGCGGGCAGGGAUGCUGCUCCACACCCCACAGAGAACGUGCCCUGACCCUGAUGUCCGGAGCAGUGAGGAGGGGACCCUGUUAAAGGGGGACGAUUGGCCCACCUUGGGGCUGUGGGUCAAAGGUGGUGAGAAUGCGCGGGCCAUGAGCACGGGGUGGGGGCCACCCUUCCCCGCCACGCUGAGCCCAGGGUCUGCUGCGGGCCUGGCGAAGGCUGCCUUGGGCUGCCACAGAGGCGGGCAGGGGGUGGGCACAGCGCACCUGGAGUUCCGGAUCAGCUCCACCUGUCUGGGCGUCAAGGCAAAGAUGCACGGGCUCUCCUGAAGCUUCUCGUUAUUCUGUGGAACUGGAGACAAAUUUGGGGUCAGGGUCACGUCUGUUCCCUGGCGAGGGCGCCGACCACAGUCAUUCCUACAGGCCUGGCCCUCUUCAGACUGGGAAGUAGGAAAUGGGAAGCUGAGCCCCAGCCAGGUGGGAUGUAUUUGGGGGAUCCUGCCCCUUCCUGGGUAAGGAGAACCAAAGCCCAUGGUUCAGGGAGCAGUCAUGCCCCGCCAUGUCCCCCACUGAGGGCCACUCGGGGAGCAGCAGCCUCUUCAGCCCUCUGGGGCUCAGGCAUCUACUCAAGAGGACCGAGAACUGCUCGGCGGGGGCAGAAGAGCUUUGCUGGGCCAGCAGGAUGCAACACACCAGGCCGCGUGCCCUCGGGCCAGCCACUUUCUCCAGGUCUGUGAGACGCCAGUAACAACUCUGUCCCCAACUCCCAGGGCUGUUCCGGGCAUCUGGUGAGCCAUGUACCCAACCAUGCAGCACUCGGCCCAGGCCCCGCACGUAAUGAGUUCUCAGCACGGCACUGCCAGAGGGAAUGGGGACAAGUUGAACAAGGUCCUGCCUCUGGCACUCACGGGUUGUCCAAGGAGAUAUGGAAGUGAACUGGCAGUGAACCUCCAAGUGCACAAAAUAAGAGUCACAGAGCAGCCUGGCCUGGCUCACAGUGGGAGGUGUGAGGAGGGCAGCAGGGACAGCACACACAGAGCCCUGCUCGCCAUCAUGGAGCACUGGGUGCAGAAGUCGGGAGAGAGUCUGCCGGGGAUGGAGACCUUGGCAGUGAAGAGCUGGCUCUUCACUCUCAGUCAUAACUGUACUGAGAAGCCCAGGCGAGAUCAGAAAGCACUCUGAACUGAACGAGAAAAUACAAUACUCCAAAACUUGUGAGAGGCAGCUAAAGCAGUUGUGAGAGGGAAAGCUAUAGCUUUAAAUGCUUCUAUUAAAAAAGAAUGAAAAGUGUUUGAAAUGAAUGAUGUAUGCUUCCUCCACAAGAAGCUAGAAAAAGAAGCCCAAACUAAAAGCCAAAGCCAUUAGAAGGGAGAAAAUUAAAGAUAAAGAUGGAAGUCAAUGAACCAAAAAGCCAACAACAGAGAAAACCAACAAAGCCAAAGUUCUUUGAUACAUACCUAGCUAGACUGAAUGAUAAGAUCGUGAGAACACAAACUAUCAUGAAUGAAAGGUGGACAUCAGUACAGAUUCUAUAGCCUUCAAUAGGGGGCUGUAACUUCAUGCCAAUGAAUUUGACAAUUUAGAUGAAAUGAACAAACUCUUCCAAAGAUGCCAACUAUGAAAACUGGCACCAAAACAUAUAGAAAGUUUGAAAAGCUUUUUAUCGGUUAAAAAAACUGAACUCAUAAUUAAAAACCUUUCCACAAAGGAAACUGCAGGUCCAGCUUGGUGGAUUCAAUCAGAUGUUUAAGGAAGAAACCAUAUAAACUUUAUAUAAACUCUUCCAGGGAGUCCCCUGGUGGCCUAGUGGUUAGGAUUCUGGGCUUUCACUGCCGGGGCCCAGGUUCAAUCCCCGGUCAGGGAACUGAGAUCUUGCAAGAUGUGCGGCAUGGCCAAAAACAAAUAAAUAAAUAAACUCUUCCAGAAACAAGAGGAGGAAGGACACGUCUCAACUCAUUUCCCCCCCUCCCCCGGUACGCGGGCCUCUCACUGUUGUGGCCUCUCCCGUUGCGGAGCACAGGCUCCGGACGCGCAGGCUCAGUGGCCAUGGCUCACGGGCCAGCCGCUCCACGGCAUGUGGGAUCUUCCCGGACUGGGGCACGAACCCGUGUCCCCUGCAUUGGCAGGCGGACUCUCAACCGCUGCGACACCAGGGAAGCCCCUCAACUCAUUUUAAUGAGGCCAGCAUAACCCUGGUUCCAAAACCUGACAAAAAUGCAUCAAGAAAGGAAAAACACAGCUGAAUAUCCCUCAUGAACGUGGAUGUAAAAAAUCCUUAACAAAAUUUUAGCAAACAGCCAGGGCCCCUGGGAUCUGGCCCUGGAGUGCAAGAUUGGUUGAAAACCUCCACACGUCCACUUAAAGUGGCUAAAAUGACAAGACCAACAAUUCCAAGUGUUGACAAGGACCUGGAGCAACCAGGACUCUCUGCUGGGGGUAGGGGUGGUUGUAACAUGGUACAGACACUUUGGAAAACUGUUGGGCAAUGACUAGUAAAGUUAAACAUACACUUACCCUGUAACCAGCAAUCUGCUGUUAGCUAUUUCCCAAUUAAAUGGGAGUAUGUCUACAAAAAGACCUGUGCAAGAACGCCUGGCUAAUUUAUUCCUGGCAGCUCUAAACUGGAAACAACCCAAGUGCCCCACAACGGAAGAACAAAUGGACAAGCUGUGGUACAUUCAUACAGUAAAGCUUGUAGUCCAUGCAUCGACACGGACGAAUCUGAAGCCCCAAAGCUGAGCCAAAGAAGGCAGACACAGAGAAGUACAUGCUGCGUGUGCAUUAUACCACCCUCCUGAACAGGCAAAACUAAUCUAUGGUGAUAGAACUCAGAAGAGAGGCGGCCUCUGGGGGUCAGGGGAAGGCAAGGACUGCCUGGGAGGGGGGCCCCUCGGGAACUUAACGGUGAUGGAAAUGUUCUGUAUUUGGUGGCAUUGGGGUUACUCGGUCACAUGCAUUCUCUAAAACUCAAGUUACGCACUAAAUAUCUGUGGAUUUCGUUGUAUGUAAACUAUACUUCAAUGUUUAAAAUUUUAAAACUACACUGAGAAGUGAUGAUCAUUCUGUAACGAAUAAAAAUAUCAAGUCAC
This is a long non-coding RNA of Orcinus orca (killer whale), 3629 nucleotides long. RefSeq lists it as uncharacterized. Lineage: Eukaryota; Metazoa; Chordata; Mammalia; Artiodactyla; Delphinidae. The transcript is spliced from 2 exons. The record is from RefSeq and is a predicted model, not a curated record.